RNAcentral lists this long non-coding RNA (485 nucleotides) under Ficedula albicollis (Collared flycatcher). RNAcentral describes it as "lncRNA (ENSFALG00000028253.1)". The record is from RNAcentral. Lineage: Eukaryota; Metazoa; Chordata; Aves; Passeriformes; Muscicapidae.
AUGUCUGCCGGCGGAGCGCGCCGCCAGUGGGCCCUGAACCCGGCAUUGGCCGGGAAGCCGAUCGCACUGCUCUUCCCACUGCUGCCACAGAACGCCUGCCAUUUAACUCACUGCCGGAGGCCGGCUCCAGCCUCCGCCGCGGCCCGACCCGCCCCCGGCGGCCCUAGGCCAGGGCGGGCACUGCCGGCGCUCCGCCAGGGCCGGGGGCGGGGUCGCCGUCGCUUCCUCCGCGGCGCUUGUGGGCGGUCGGGCUCGCCAUGGGGCAGUGUUUGCCGUGCAUGGGGGGCGCUGUCAAGGACGUGGUGGAGACGCCCGACCCGGAAAUAAAAAGAAGACAACUAGCAGAAGCCGCUGAAAAGAGGCAGAUGGAGGCUUCCUCUCGAGGUAUUAAGAAUGUUUACUCUGUAGAGCAGAAGAAAAAGAAACAGGAAGAAAUAGACAGAAGAAUGGCAGCUUCACGUCCUGGAGGAGAAGGAGGACUGAGA